GGUUCGAUGGUGUAGUUGGUUAUCACGUCUGUCUCACAUUGGGUGCACAGGAGGUCUCCGGUUCGAGCCCGGAUCGAACCA
Molecule: transfer RNA, 81 nt
Filed under: Trametes sanguinea
Lineage: Eukaryota; Fungi; Basidiomycota; Agaricomycetes; Polyporales; Polyporaceae
Description: tRNA-Val
Source: RNAcentral